AGUGAACGCUGGCGGUAGGCCUAACACAUGCAAGUCGAACGGCAGCACAGUAAGAGCUUGCUCUUACGGGUGGCGAGUGGCGGACGGGUGAGGAAUACAUCGGAAUCUACUUUUUCGUGGGGGAUAACGUAGGGAAACUUACGCUAAUACCGCAUACGACCUACGGGUGAAAGCAGGGGAUCUUCGGACCUUGCGCGAUUGAAUUAGCCGAUGUCGGAUUAGCUAGUUGGCGGGGUAAAGGCCCACCAAGGCGACGAUCCGUAGCUGGUCUGAGAGGAUGAUCAGCCAAACUGGAACUGAGACACGGUCCAGACUCCUACGGGAGGCAGCAGUGGGGAAUAUUGGACAAUGGGCGCGAGCCUGAUCCAGCCAUACCGCGUGGGUGAAGAAGGCCUUCGGGUUGUAAAGCCCUUUUGUUGGGAAAGAAAAGCAGCAGGUUAAUACCCCGCUGUUCUGACGGUACCCAAAGAAUAAGCACCGGCUAACUUCGUG
This 492-nucleotide ribosomal RNA is filed under the name uncultured bacterium. RNAcentral's name for it is "partial 16S ribosomal RNA". It matches the Rfam family "Bacterial small subunit ribosomal RNA", at positions 29 to 507 of the family's 1533-position model. The record is from RNAcentral.